Molecule: ribosomal RNA, 305 nt
Filed under: uncultured bacterium
Lineage: Bacteria
Description: bacterial SSU rRNA
Rfam family: Bacterial small subunit ribosomal RNA
Source: RNAcentral
CUAUCCUACGGGAGGCAGCAGUGGGGAAUAUUGCACAAUGGGGGAAACCCUGAUGCAGCGACGCCGCGUGAGUGAAGAAGUAUUUCGGUAUGUAAAGCUCUGUCAGCAGGGAAGAAAAUGACGGUACCUGACCAAGAAGCCCCGGCUAACUACGUGCCAGCAGCCGCGGUAAUACGUAGGGGGCAAGCGUUAUCCGGAUUUACUGGGUGUAAAGGGAGCGUAGACGGCAGGGCAAGUCUGGAGUGAAAGGCGGGGGCUCAACCCCCGGACUGCUCUGGAAACUGUGCGGCUUGAGUGCGGGAGGG